UAAUAACUACAUGGUCCCGAGAGUAAAGC
Molecule: non-coding RNA, 29 nt
Filed under: Mus musculus (house mouse)
Lineage: Eukaryota; Metazoa; Chordata; Mammalia; Rodentia; Muridae
Source: RNAcentral